GAGAGGGGGUGAAUAGUGACCGAGUGAGGGAGGAAGAGGGUGACUAGUGACAGAGUGAGGAAGGGGGUGACACAGUGAUAGUCACCCCAUUCCUCCCUCUGUCACUAAUCACCACCUCCCUCACUCUCACUAGUCACCCCUUCCCUCCCUCACUCUGUCACUAGUCACACCCUCCCUCUCUCUGUCACUAGUCACACCCUCCCUCUC
Pelobates cultripes (western spadefoot toad) is the source of this 207-nucleotide non-coding RNA. NCBI's taxonomy places the organism in Eukaryota, Metazoa, Chordata, Amphibia, Anura, Pelobatidae. The record is from the annotation of a GenBank genome assembly.